Solanum dulcamara is the source of this 2534-nucleotide long non-coding RNA. RefSeq lists it as uncharacterized. The transcript is spliced from 3 exons. The record is from RefSeq and is a predicted model, not a curated record. NCBI's taxonomy places the organism in Eukaryota, Viridiplantae, Streptophyta, Magnoliopsida, Solanales, Solanaceae.
CUGUGGUCUAUAACAGUCCUUUCUCUUCUGCAUCUCUCUUGUCCUGGCAAUUUCUCCAUGGCAGCGCUUUAAAUUUCACUUGGUGCUUCUCAAGCUUUUCACAAUAUCUACUCUCAGCUCUUUUGAAAAUGAAAAGAUUAUCUAUGGUAAACUAAUUUUUUCACAAUGUCUAGACAACAAUGGGGAGUAGUGUGGGCAACAUUGCCAUUCUGCUCAAUCACAAAAGUUCUUCCAACCUAAUUCUAUAAGCUUCUGUUUGUCUCUUUUGUUCCACACUCUCCACUUCUCGAUACUUUCCCAGCUUAGUUCUGCCGAUUCAGCUAAAGUUCACACCUAAUCUCCAUCCACGAACGACGUUGUAAAAUGUUGGAUGGAAUCAACAUCCAUUUAUCCUUCUGGCGACUCCAACACGACCUAUUUCAGAGCCAUCGCUGUCUGCGGCGACACAAUCACACAUAGAAACAAUAGUACAGAGGAGCGCUCCAUUUUCGAUACGGUGUUUCAAUAAUUUGUUCUCCAGAGAGAUUUAAAAGAUUGAUGCAGAGCCGCUGGGAAGCGUGAUUACGCAAGGCUGCCGUCUCCGCCCUUUGGUUCACAAGGACGAUUUAAUAUUGCAGCCCUUCCAAGGCGAACAAAUAGACGCAAAGCUGAAGGAAGCUCAAUGAGUUACUUUCUAUUUUCUAAGCUACACAAAUUUAACUAUGACUAGCUGUUUUUGUGGCAAAGAAUUCUUUUAAGAACCCUAAAAAUAGUACAAGUGUGAUUUAAGCUUUUACUUGUAGUGAUUUUGAUGCUGUAGAAGACCUAGGAUUGUUGGAAUGGUGGCAAAAUGUUUGAUAAUAUGCCAGACCUGCCUAUGAUCACUGAUCUUAUCGAUCUAAUAUCUCCAUAUUCUACCACAACUGUAUGUUUAGUCAAUUGCUAUGUAUUCACAAAUGAAUUUGAGGUAUUAAUACUCAUGUUUAUUAACAAUAACAAUUUUGUAUGAAUGAAAAGCUUUGAGAGGAUAAUAAUUCUUAAUUCAAUAUUACACACACAAAAAAAAAAAAAAAAAAGCAAAAAGAGGAAUGUAUCUAUAAGUUUUUGUGGACAAUCGCACGGUUGAAGUCACAGUUCUGAUGCUCUACCUAUAGACAUGGAUGAACAUGAUUCUCCCUUUGAGGGUGAAUUAUUGUCUUUAACAAGAUAAGAUUAUUAACGAUUUUUAUGCUGGAACUAUGUUUGAUAAAAAAAGUGUCAUCAUUAUACGUGCAUGGAAGUCGGUUUUUUUCUUCAUCCAAAUUCCUCUCUUUGCGUCAUUGCUUCUCUUAUACCAAAUAUAAUUUUCGAUUAUAUCUCCUCAUCUUACUUGGAGUGUUGCUGCAAUUUUCAGGUAAUUCUUUUUUAACUCUUCUCUAUUCAUCUUCAAUUUUCUAUUUCCCCUUCAUCUUUUCUUCUUCCUGUGUUUGAAUCAGUUCGUAUUUGCUCAUAUGACGGAUAUGUUUCUAUGGGUUCAUGAAGUUUUGAUCUUUUUUUUUUUAUUAUGAAGAUAUGGGUCAAAAAGGGAUUGUUGUAAGCAAAGGAGAAAACGAAGAUAGUAGGGUUUCUAUUCUCCUUUAUUUCCCAAUACUAGGUUCACAUAGAGGAAUCAAAGGUAACACUCCAAUUUUCUUGCAGAGCUAAGUGGAUCACCUACUGUGUUCAAGUCAAUGAGAUACUAAAUGAUGCAGCCUUAUUAAAGCAGCUAAAAGGGAAAUAGAGGAACUACGCAUGAAACUUCAGAUGAUUGUCUUGUCUCUCAAAAUUCAUAUUCAUAAGUUGCAUAAAUAUAUCGAAUAUGGGAUGAAACCUCUUACAUAGGGAUCACAUUUCGAGGUGCUUGAGCAAGAGAUACUGAAACUCAAAAAUGACCUAUUGAAGAGCGAGAGAAGCUUGCCAUGUAAUUGGAGGAGGAGAGAAGAUCGAAGGAAGAACGAGAGCAAUGCAUCAUUGAGCAACAGAAAAAAAUUCAUUAUCUUAUAAUCUUGUAUCUGUCUCAGACUCUAAUGGGCAUGCCACACAGGUAAAAUAUGUGAAUUCAGCUGCUGUGAACUUCCUUAGACUAUCUUGUCUCUUUGAAUGGUGCUCUUUUGGCUGGUAACAUGUCAAUGUUAAGCUUUGUUUGAUCAUCUUGUAUGUGCCUAUCUCUCUUUUCGCUGAUGUUAUUAUCUAUGUAUAAAAAUCGUAUGUUUAUAUUUAUUUGAGUUGUGUUUUACCUAUGAAAUGUGCCUUUAAAGUUGAAAUCAUAUCACCAUAUAGCCAUACUAAAUAGUAUUAAACUUAUAGUUGGCUGGAAUUUUUUUAGAAGAAUAUUCAUUGGAAUAGAAAAGUUACUGCAAUGAUGAGGAGGAGUUAUAAUAAUGAUCACACAUCUGAAAAUAUAUGUACUGACAAAAAAGCUAGACGACAUGAGUUAUUUAGACUAAUACCACCCAAGAGAAAAAAUGUCUUUUUAGCUCGACAAUGAGCAAACAGAGCUGAAUUAAAAAGACGCCAUCUGCUCAACGACUCUGUAG